RNAcentral lists this ribosomal RNA (253 nucleotides) under uncultured bacterium. RNAcentral's name for it is "partial 16S ribosomal RNA". It matches the Rfam family "Bacterial small subunit ribosomal RNA", at positions 524 to 776 of the family's 1533-position model. The record is from RNAcentral.
UACAGGGGGGGCAAGCGUUGUUCGGAAUUACUGGGCGUAAAGGGCGCGUAGGCGGCCUGCUAAGUCGAACGUGAAAUCCCCGAGCUCAACUCGGGAACUGCGUCCGAUACUGACAGGCUUGAAUCCGGGAGAGGGAUGCGGAAUUCCAGGUGUAGCGGUGAAAUGCGUAGAUAUCUGGAGGAACACCGGUGGCGAAGGCGGCAUCCUGGACCGGCAUUGACGCUGAGGCGCGAAAGCUAGGGGAGCAAACGGG